Tarenaya hassleriana is the source of this 762-nucleotide long non-coding RNA. RefSeq lists it as uncharacterized. Lineage: Eukaryota; Viridiplantae; Streptophyta; Magnoliopsida; Brassicales; Cleomaceae. The transcript is spliced from 3 exons. The record is from RefSeq and is a predicted model, not a curated record.
CAUCAAGUCUUUCUCUCUCCGAAGCAACAACAAUGGUGUUCGCUUCUUCUUCUCUUAGAAUAUCGUCCUUCUUCUUUGAAUUCGAAACUCAAAUCUAUUCCUCAAACCAAAGAUUGAGAAUUCUCAGUGACUGAUCCAUACAAGUGUGAUUCACGUAGUAGGAGAAGAUUGAGAAUUAUCGUCGUCAAUUCAAUCUUGGUGCCGAACGUGGAGCUCGUACAGGACCCGAUAAUUUCGUUUUUUCCAUCCUCUCUAAGGAUUUUUCAUUCGCCCUGUCCUCCCUCUUUCGAACAACCUCCGACGCAGAGCCGUGUCGUCGGCUUCAACAUCGAUGGUGAUGGUGGCGAUCUCUCCUCUCUCAUCCUGUUCGAAUCUCAUCCUCUCUGCUCUUGUUCGUCUCCCACAUCGUUCGAAGCUCCUCCUCUCUCCUCCUAUUUGAAGUCCGCCGAAGUUCUAUCCAAUAACCGCGAGAAAAACCAAGCACAUGUAUUCAAAUGGGCGGAUAAAGCUAUGUGCGAAGAAAAUCGAGAAAUUAAAUAUCCAAAAUCAAUCAAUCCUUGGUGUGGUGGAUAAAUUGAAGGCCGAAGUGGAGCAAGUGAAAGAAAUACGAGAAAAAAUGGUGGUUGUGAUGGUCUUGUUAGUUAUGUUAUGUUUGUAUUAUUAUUUCAUAUCUGGUUAGUGAAUUUGGAUGUAGUGUUUGUAGUCUUAAUUUUCCUGUGAAAACUAUAGGAUUGAUAUCUUAUACAAGAUAAAAUGGGAAGA